RNAcentral lists this non-coding RNA (29 nucleotides) under Mus musculus (house mouse). Lineage: Eukaryota; Metazoa; Chordata; Mammalia; Rodentia; Muridae. The record is from RNAcentral.
UCCUAUUAGCUUCUACAACUUGAAGAGUA